AGUGAACGCUGGCGGUAGGCCUAACACAUGCAAGUCGAACGGCAGCACAGUAAGAGCUUGCUCUUACGGGUGGCGAGUGGCGGACGGGUGAGGAAUACAUCGGAAUCUACUUUUUCGUGGGGGAUAACGUAGGGAAACUUACGCUAAUACCGCAUACGACCUACGGGUGAAAGCAGGGGAUCUUCGGACCUUGCGCGAUUGAAUGAGCCGAUGUCGGAUUAGCUAGUUGGCGGGGUAAAGGCCCACCAAGGCGACGAUCCGUAGCUGGUCUGAGAGGAUGAUCAGCCACACUGGAACUGAGCCACGGUCCAGACUCCUACGGGAGGCAGCAGUGGGGAAUAUUGGACAAUGGGCGCAAGCCUGAUCCAGCCAUACCGCGUGGGUUAAGAAGGCCUUCGGGUUGUAAAGCCCUUUUGUUGGGAAAGAAAAGCAGCAGGUUAAUACCCCGCUGUUCUGACGGUACCCAAAGAAUAAGCACCGGCUAACUUCGUG
RNAcentral lists this ribosomal RNA (492 nucleotides) under uncultured bacterium. Its description in RNAcentral is "partial 16S ribosomal RNA". It matches the Rfam family "Bacterial small subunit ribosomal RNA", at positions 29 to 507 of the family's 1533-position model. The record is from RNAcentral.